RNAcentral lists this long non-coding RNA (1243 nucleotides) under Taeniopygia guttata (zebra finch). RNAcentral describes it as "lncRNA (ENSTGUG00000028977.1)". Lineage: Eukaryota; Metazoa; Chordata; Aves; Passeriformes; Estrildidae. The record is from RNAcentral.
GGGCCGCAUCCCAGCGUUGCCAAGGCAAAGUUGCUGUGCCCAGGCCCGGCAGGGCUCAGUGAGCAGAGCAGCUCUGUGGCACGCUCACUGCAGGCGGAACCUGCUGAUCGCCGAGGUCUCUGCCAGCAGGACUCGCAGGAUUUUUGGUUUUUCCCCGCAGGCGUUGUCUGGUGCAGACUUGGGCAGCGCUGCUCAGGCCAUGGAGAGAGUGUGUGCUGCAGUUUGCACGGCUUUCUCCGUGGCCUAUUCUGGGUACUUUUUCACCCAGCUGGCACGUCACAUCACCCGUGUCUGGAGAGAAUCCGCUCCUUGGGUGAGUGGGAAAGGAACCUUUGGUGUGGGUAGCAUUUGACAAUUGUGGAGCAAGCUGUGAGCUGGGCCUGGUGCAGUCCAGUGCUAGCCUUGUGGGAUGAAUGAAAGAACAGUCCAGGCUCUUUGCAGCAGCAGCAGCAGCAGCAGCAGCAGCAGCAGCAGCAGCAGCAGCAGCAGCAGCAGCAGAAUUUGCAGGAGGAGUUGGAUCCUGAGCUGUUUUCUCCAGCUCAUUUUCAGAGCAUUUAAGCAGCUGAAAGUGGGGUUGCUUGGUGCUUGAAGCCAUGAUGGAAGUUCUCCUGUACAAGAGAGUGCAGUCCCAUCUAACUGGCCCAUUUGACUUGAGUUUGAACAAUUAGAAUGCCAUUUCUCUGCAGAUGAUUUCUCCUUAGUGCAUCUGGCUCCAGAGCUGAAUGGAGAGGUUACCUGUCCCUGACACUGCUGUCUAUCUGCAGAGCCCAAAACAGACCUCUGAGCCUCCUCUGGAUGCAUGUCUUCCUGAAGAAGAGGCCAAAGGGGAGGAAGAUUCCCACCAAAGUGCACCUGCUGCCACUGCAGGGCCUGAGCAUCCAGCAUCAAGCACAAGGGCAGCGCCAGCACCUGCUCCGGCUGCCUCUGCACCCGAGGAAGAGGCUGAAGAGGAGGAAGGUGCCAAUGACCCUGCUGCUGCUGUCAGCCGUGGCCUGAGCAGCCAGCAUCAAGCUCCAGCUCCUCUGUCGUGGCACCUGCACAAGCUGCAGCUGAAGAAGCCUCCAGUGCCCAAGCUGGAAACUCAAGCAGGAGCAGCUCGUGCACCUGGAGCACGACUAGUUCCUCUGGCAGCAUGGAGCUGCUGGGAGAGAGGACAGAGGACAAGUGCCUGGCCAUGCUGAGUACGUCCUUUGUGACCCUUGUGUGCCGCAGCAGUGCCUGGUGUGUGUGUGCGUGUGUCAGC